Molecule: ribosomal RNA, 465 nt
Filed under: uncultured bacterium
Lineage: Bacteria
Description: partial 16S ribosomal RNA
Rfam family: Bacterial small subunit ribosomal RNA
Source: RNAcentral
GACGAACGCUGGCGGCGUGCUUAACACAUGCGAGUCGAACGGAAAGGCCCUGCUUGCAGGGUACUCGAGUGGCGAACGGGUGAGUAACACGUGGGUGAUCUGCCCUGCACUUCGGGAUAAGCCUGGGAAACUGGGUCUAAUACCGGAUAGGAGCCAUUUUUAGUGUGAUGGUUGGAAAGUUUUUUCGGUGUAGGAUGAGCUCGCGGCCUAUCAGCUUGUUGGUGGGGUAAUGGCCUACCAAGGCGGCGACGGGUAGCCGGCCUGAGAGGGUGGACGGCCACAUUGGGACUGAGAUACGGCCCAGACUCCUACGGGAGGCAGCAGUGGGGAAUAUUGCACAAUGGGCGCAAGCCUGAUGCAGCGACGCCGCGUGGGGGAUGACGGCCUUCGGGUUGUAAACUCCGUUCGCUAGGGACGAAGCUUUUUGUGACGGUACCUAGAUAAGAAGCACCGGCUAACUACGUG